Molecule: long non-coding RNA, 1895 nt
Organism: Gymnodraco acuticeps
Lineage: Eukaryota; Metazoa; Chordata; Actinopteri; Perciformes; Bathydraconidae
Exons: 2
Source: RefSeq, a predicted model, not a curated record
UCUGCCUGUGUUCUGCCACCUUCUCUGCUCGGCGAUCAGCAUUUGGCUUUUUCCAUUUGUGGCAGAUUACUGUAACGCUAUUGUACAACAACUUCCUGCCUCUUUUGGCACAGGUUCUAAAAAAAUCUGCAAAAGCAGAGCUCGUGGCUUCAAACUUUUUCCCCCCUCGGCCUUGAACUGCAGGAGCUUUAUAAGAAAAGAAAAGGAGGAAGGAGAUAUGUAAAGUGUGUCUGUUACUGAGGAACUACUUUCAUAAACUGCUGAGAAUUAAAGAGGGGACUUCAUGCCUAGCAGAGACAAUGAAGGAAAAAAGGAAUCGAACAGAGGAAGAAGAGGAGGAAAGAGACACAGAGGGAAAAGGAGCAAAGGAGACUUUCUUGUGGGAACAAGCUGGAAAUGAUCGACCAAUUCGAUAUGAGACCUUGGAGUGUACGACCUAUCCGAAGAGGGACGCGCCCUAACUGUAACUAACAACCACUUCUGGCAGCCCUUCAACAGCCAAACAUAUUGUCCUGGAUCAGAUCAGAGAACCAGGGCAGCUUCGGCAAGAAAUCCACAUUCAACUUCUACCAAUGGUGGAAUUUAAAUGUAGUCAACUAAUGGGUUUUCAAUUAGAUUUUGAUUAAGCUUUAAACUAUUAUCAGGAUUUUGCUUAUCAAAUGUAAAAAGACUACAUAAACACACAUUCAACCAAUAUGUCCACACUUUGAGGCAUCUGAGACAACAAGUUUUUUUUUUAAAUGACUACUAAAUAUCAUCUUUUGUAUUAUUUUGUAUAAUAUACAUGUUACCCAUGUUCUCGUCAUAUGACGUCACAAGUUAAAUGAACCCCUCUUACUACAUGUUACUCAUUUCACAUUGCUGUCAUAAUUCAAACAUUUGUAUUUUUUUGAAAUACAUUUUCAUUUAACCCUUUCUGACAAAAUGAAUAAGUAAGCAAAGCCACUUUUACAUUUACAUGUGACUCACUAUAAUAAAGAAUUAUUUGAAACUAAAAUAACAUUUCUUCACAUUAAUCAAAGGGCUCAUUUAAAAUAGAGAUGGAGAGAUAUUUGAACUUAUUGAAAAUACUGUAUAAUUAAAGUAAUAAUGAAAAUCAAAUUGACUGCAAACACUAAUCAAAGACAUUACGUGCUGCAGGGACAAAUUCUCAAAGUCAUUGACACGCUAUUGUAAAAAAGCUAAUUCUCUAUUUCUGUCCUCUUCAAUUGCCUUUGCUUCUACAUACCUGAACUCUCCCUUUGCAGUUUGACCCUGAGAGCAGCUACAUCUACUGUAAACCGCCUUGGCCAUUUUGUUUUAUUCUUCCUCAACACUAAACCAGGAGUGCACAGGCCUGGCAUUUUAGGUGCCACGUCACAACGCCCGUGUCUGCACUGCAGGGCUGCAAGGAGUCCAGCAGCCACGGCACUCAGCAGCGCACUGCCUCAACAAACACUGUGUGUACCUCUUGUUGUUUUUAAGAUAGUCCCUAGCAUCCCUGCUUCUACUGACAACAGCUAAACAUACACCGAAAGCUUUAGAAACGUCAUAAACAUGCUGUCAUCCAGCACAGAGCCACUGAGCCUUCAGCCCUGCAUCACUUUGCAGAAAUGACCUCAGUAAAGUUAGCUCACACACAAUAGAUAUGAUACUCAUCCAAUUGAGCAAUGCUUUUUUUAAUGAGGUUAGUAAACGCUUCUAAAUAAUGCCCAAUAAUGUAUUGUGUGUGAUCUUGGAUACAAACACUGAUUAUGUCAAUUCCACUGGGCGGAUUAACUGUCAUUGAGGUGCAUUUGUCAUGUUGCAUAAAGAUAUUUAUAUAAUGAUUUUUGUUAUGAUUAUUUAUUUAUAUUAAUUGUGUUUAUUUAAAGCAAAAAUAUGAUGUGUAUUAAACUGUCAUUGGAUCACAUUUA